RNAcentral lists this ribosomal RNA (556 nucleotides) under uncultured bacterium. RNAcentral's name for it is "partial 16S ribosomal RNA". It matches the Rfam family "Bacterial small subunit ribosomal RNA", at positions 355 to 902 of the family's 1533-position model. The record is from RNAcentral.
UGGGGAAUAUUGGACAAUGGGCGCAAGCCUGAUCCAGCCAUGCCGCGUGUGUGAAGAAGGCCUUCGGGUUGUAAAGCACUUUCAGCGAGGAGGAAGGGUGGUGUGUUAAUAGCACAUCAUUUUGACGUUACUCGCAGAAGAAGCACCGGCUAACUCUGUGCCAGCAGCCGCGGUAAUACAGAGGGUGCAAGCGUUAAUCGGAAUUACUGGGCGUAAAGCGCACGUAGGCGGUUUUUUAAGUCAGAUGUGAAAGCCCCGGGCUCAACCUGGGAAUUGCAUUUGAAACUGGGAAACUAGAGUGUGUGAGAGGGGGGUAGAAUUCCAAGUGUAGCGGUGAAAUGCGUAGAGAUUUGGAGGAAUACCAGUGGCGAAGGCGGCCCCCUGGCACAACACUGACGCUCAGGUGCGAAAGCGUGGGGAGCAAACAGGAUUAGAUACCCUGGUAGUCCACGCCGUAAACGAUGUCUACUAGCUGUUCGUGACCUUGUGUUGUGAGUAGCGCAGCUAACGCACUAAGUAGACCGCCUGGGGAGUACGGUCGCAAGAUUAAAAGCUC